UCCUCCGGGACGCAGCAGUGGGGAAUAUUGCACAAUGGGGGAAACCCUGAUGCAGCAACUCCUCUUUAUUUCAGAAGUCAUUCGUGAUGUAAAGCUCUAUCAGCAGGGAAGAAAAUGACGGUACCUGAGUAAGAAGCCCCGGCUAACUACGUGCCAGCAGCCGCGGUAAUACGUAGGGGGCAAGCGUUAUCCGGAUUUACUGGGUGUAAAGGGAGCGUAGACGGCCAGACAAGUCUGAAGUGAAAAUCCAGCGCUUAACGUUGGAAGUGCUUUGGAAACUGCCGGGCUAGAGUGCAGGAGGGGCA
RNAcentral lists this ribosomal RNA (305 nucleotides) under uncultured bacterium. Its description in RNAcentral is "bacterial SSU rRNA". It matches the Rfam family "Bacterial small subunit ribosomal RNA", at positions 337 to 659 of the family's 1533-position model. The record is from RNAcentral.